AUUGAACGCUGGCGGCAGGCCUAACACAUGCAAGUCGAGCGGAUCGGCGGACGGGUGAGUAAUGCCUAUGACUCUGCCUGUUCGUGGGGGAUAAGGUCCGGAACCGGGCGCUAUUACCGAUUCCUCUUAGAUGCGCCUAGGUCGGAUUAGCUAGUUGGUGGGGUAAAGGCCUACCAAGGCGACGAUCCGUAACUGGUCUGAGAGGAUGAUCAGUCACACUGGAACUGAGACACGGUCCAGACUCCUACGGGAGGCAGCAGUGGGGAAUAUGGGACAAUGGGCGAAAGCCUGAUCCAGCCAUGCCGCGUGUGUGAAGAAGGUCUUCGGAUUGUAAAGCACUUUAAGUUGGGAGGCGUUACCAACAGAAUAAGCACCGGCUAACUUCGUGCCAGCAGCCGCGGUAAUAC
This 407-nucleotide ribosomal RNA is filed under the name uncultured bacterium. RNAcentral's name for it is "partial 16S ribosomal RNA". It matches the Rfam family "Bacterial small subunit ribosomal RNA", at positions 30 to 526 of the family's 1533-position model. The record is from RNAcentral.